ACUACGGGUGGCAGCAGUGGGGAAUAUUGGGCAAUGGGCGCAAGCCUGACCCAGCAACGCCGCGUGAAGGAAGAAGGCUUUCGGGUUGUAAACUUCUUUUCUGAGGGACGAAGAAAGUGACGGUACCUCAGGAAUAAGCCACGGCUAACUACGUGCCAGCAGACGCGGUAAUACGUAGGUGGCAAGCGUUAUCCGGAUUUAUUGGGUGUAAAGGGCGUGUAGGGGGGAAAGCAAGUCAGUUGUGAAAACUCAGGGCUAAACCCUGAGCCUGCAUUUGGAACUGUUUUUCUUGAGUGCUGGAGGGGCGAGUGGAAUUCCGUGUGUAGCGGUGAAAUGCGUAGAUAUACGGAGGAACACCAGUGGCGAAGGCGGAUUGCUGGACAGUAACUGACGCUGAGGCGCGAAGGCGUGGGAGCAAACAGGAUUAGAUACCCGGGUAGUC
This 442-nucleotide ribosomal RNA is filed under the name uncultured bacterium. RNAcentral's name for it is "partial 16S ribosomal RNA". It matches the Rfam family "Bacterial small subunit ribosomal RNA", at positions 338 to 795 of the family's 1533-position model. The record is from RNAcentral.